AUGCAAGCGUUUUCUAAUUCACCCAGCUUGGACCCUGCGUCCGCACAUGCGCACAUGCGCUCGCCCUGCCCCCUCCCUGAACGUGCCAGUCUACACGCAGCUAGCCCAGGUGCUGCGCGUGCUCGCCGCUUCCAUGCGCGUGGUCUCGCUCCGUCCCGGCAGAAUGUACGUGCGCGUGCCUGGACCUCCACCCUGGCAGGAAGGCGCGCUCCCCCUCGCUCCCGGCCCAGUGACUCAGCAUCUCACGCAGCCCAGCACUGCUCUGCAGGCUGUGGGCGUGCGCUCCGGCUUUUCCGCCCACCGCCAGUGAGUUCCACUCAGCCCCCCAUGGCAGCCCACGCUCCACGGUCACACUUGUCGGGCAGGCUCAAAUCAAGGCCUAAUCCGGCCAUAUACUCUUGCCUCAGCUUCCUCAUCUUUAGGACGAGCGAUUAUGGAUCCCUCACUCAUUCCAUCCUCUAUGUCCGUCUCCUGCUUGACUGAAGCUCCCUCCCUCUGGACCUGCUUAGCUCAUUGAGCUCACUGAUCCAUUAGGCAGUGUGUCAGAUAAAGUCCCUGCUCCAUGUGGACUCGUUCGGUGGCUCCUCAUCUCUAAACAGAAAUCAAAAUUCUCACAAUGAUUUGUAAGCCACUGGGUGAAUUCCCUUCUCUCUAAUGUCACCUCUAUGACUUCUUCCUCUAAUUUGCUCCACUCCAGCCACAUGUGCCUUCUGUUUGUGGGACAUCUAUGGGUGCUCUUGUCUCAGACUUUGCAAUGUCUUUUCCCUUUGACUGAACACUUUCCUUCCAGGUAGCCAACUGGCUCAUUUCUUCCCCUUCAUGCUUUUACUCAAAUAUAAUAGUGAAUUUUUUUCUUAACCAUUUAGUUAAAGGAAAUGCUUAUUUCCAACCUUCCUUUAAAUAUAUAUACAUAUAAUUUCAUUUUUAUUGUGUGUGGUGGAUAUUUUAUUAAUUAUGUGUGGGAGUGGACAUACAAUUUUUAUUAGUUAUGUGUGUGGGGUGGGUAUAUAAUUUUAGCAUUAAUUAUGUGUGGGGUGGGUAUGAGCAUGAGGAUGCAGGUGCCAUUGGUAUUCCCGUUGGUUGCAGCGGGAGCUACAGACAGUUAUGAGUACUGGGAACUCAAUUCAGGUCCUCUGCAAGGGAACUAUGUGUUCUUAACCACAGAUUCAUCUCUGGGGCUUCAUCCAGUUUGCCUCUUCUCAGGAGCACUUGCCAGCUCUGAAAUCCCAUAAAUUCUAUUUACUUAUUUGGCUUACGUACCCACAACACUUGCUUUAGUACCUCUAACCAGGAAGGCAUUCCAUAAAGUUCUGCUAAAUUGGGCUCAGCCAGUAAGAGCACUCAACUGCUCUUCCGCAGGUCCUGAGUUCAAAUCCCAGCAACCACAUCCGUAAGGAGAUCCGACUCCCUCUUCUGGAGUGUCUGAAGACAGCUACAGUGUACAUAUAGUAAAUACAUUCUUUAAAAAAAAAAAAAGGUUCUG
Molecule: long non-coding RNA, 1483 nt
Filed under: Mus spicilegus (steppe mouse)
Lineage: Eukaryota; Metazoa; Chordata; Mammalia; Rodentia; Muridae
Description: lncRNA (ENSMSIG00000016856.1)
Source: RNAcentral